RNAcentral lists this ribosomal RNA (719 nucleotides) under uncultured Actinomycetes bacterium. Its description in RNAcentral is "bacterial SSU rRNA". It matches the Rfam family "Bacterial small subunit ribosomal RNA", at positions 8 to 734 of the family's 1533-position model. The record is from RNAcentral. Lineage: Bacteria; Bacillati; Actinomycetota; Actinomycetes.
AGAGUUUGAUCCUGGCUCAGGACGAACGUUGGCGGUGCGCUUUAUGCAUGCAAGUCGAGCGAGAAGCGUUGGUUCCGUAAGGUUCCGACGUGGAAAGCGGCGAACGGGUGCGUAACACGUGAGAAACCUGCCCCCCAGACCGGGAUAGCCCAGGGAAACUUGGAUUAAUACCGGAUAUUCUCUUUGGAUCGCAUGAUCCGCUGAGGAAAUGGUCCGCUGCUGGGGGAUGGUCUCGCGGCCUAUCAGGUAGUUGGUGAGGUAACGGCUCACCAAGCCGAAGACGGGUAGCUGGUCUGAGAGGACGAUCAGCCACACUGGAACUGAGACACGGUCCAGACUCCUACGGGAGGCAGCAGCAGGGAAUAUUGCACAAUGGGCGAAAGCCUGAUGCAGCGACACCGCGUGCGGGAUGAAGGCCUUCGGGUUGUAAACCGCUGUCAGGAGGGAAGAAAAUGACGGUACCUCCAGAAGAAGGCCCGGCCAACUACGUGCCAGCGGCCGCGGUAAUACGUAGGGGCCAAACGUUGUCCGGAAUUAUUGGGCGUAAAGGGCUCGUAGGCGGUUCAACAAGUCGGUCGUGAAAGCCCGGGGCUCAACUCCGGGAUGCCGGUCGAAACUGUUGUGACUUGAGUUCGGUAGAGGUGAGUGGAAUUCUCAGUGUAGCGGUGGAAUGCGCAGAUAUUGAGAGGAACACCAUUAGCGAAGGCGGCUCACUGGGC